UACGUAGGGGGCGAGCGUUGUCCGGAUUCAUUGGGCGUAAAGCGCUUUAAGGCGGUUCGCUAAGUCGGGUGUGAAACCUCCAGGCUCAACCUGGAGACGCCACUCGAUACUGGCGUGACUAGAGUCCGGUAGGGGACCACGGAAUUCCUGGUGUAGCGGUGAAAUGCGCAGAUAUCAGGAGGAACACCAGUGGCGAAGGCGGUGGUCUGGGACGGAACUGACGCUGUAGAGCGAAAGCGUGGGGAGCGAACAGG
Molecule: ribosomal RNA, 254 nt
Filed under: uncultured bacterium
Lineage: Bacteria
Description: partial 16S ribosomal RNA
Rfam family: Bacterial small subunit ribosomal RNA
Source: RNAcentral